RNAcentral lists this ribosomal RNA (429 nucleotides) under Chloroflexota bacterium. RNAcentral's name for it is "Chloroflexi bacterium partial 16S ribosomal RNA". It matches the Rfam family "Bacterial small subunit ribosomal RNA", at positions 355 to 776 of the family's 1533-position model. Lineage: Bacteria; Bacillati; Chloroflexota. The record is from RNAcentral.
UGGGGAAUAUUGCACAAUGGGCGCAAGCCUGAUGCGGCCAUGCCGCGUGUGUGAAGAAGGCCUUCGGGUUGUAAAGCACUUUCAGCGGGGAGGAAGGCGAUAAGGUUAAUAACCUUGUCGAUUGACGUUACCCGCAGAAGAAGCACCGGCUAACUCCGUGCCAGCAGCCGCGGUAAUACGGAGGGUGCAAGCGUUAAUCGGAAUUACUGGGCGUAAAGCGCACGCAGGCGGUUGAUUGAGUCAGAUGUGAAAUCCCCGGGCUUAACCCGGGAAUUGCAUCUGAUACUGGUCAGCUAGAGUCUUGUAGAGGGGGGUAGAAUUCCAUGUGUAGCGGUGAAAUGCGUAGAGAUGUGGAGGAAUACCGGUGGCGAAGGCGGCCCCCUGGACAAAGACUGACGCUCAGGUGCGAAAGCGUGGGGAGCAAACAGG